RNAcentral lists this long non-coding RNA (1409 nucleotides) under Toxoplasma gondii VEG. The record is from RNAcentral. Lineage: Eukaryota; Apicomplexa; Conoidasida; Eucoccidiorida; Sarcocystidae.
GAACGCGGCACAAGAUGAAAUACGGGAGACAGAGACUUGGAGAUGAAUAGGGCCAAGGGGGAGAGACUAAGAGAGAUGCGAACGGAUAGGUGAAGAGCGAGACGAGGAUUUUCCGCGGGAGAGGAAGAGAAAAACUGGGGGAAAGAUGGAGAGAGACGGUCAGUGGAAGAGAGAUAUCAAGGAAGAUCGAAAGAGACACAGGUCGACUUAAAAACGUUUAGGCAAUGCGAUACACCACUCACCCUCAGGUGAAAGGAUAGAGAUCUGCGUAGCUCCACCUUCGUACGUAAACAUGGACUGAUGCAGAUACCCACAGAUCACAGAUCGACUCACAUGCAAGUUUCCAUAUCUGAGGACGUGUAUUCACGUAUGCAUGCAGAUAUGCACCCAAACAUAGACAAAUAUAAAUGUACAUAUACAUAUAUAUACAUACAUAUACAUAUAUACACAUAUAUACACAUAUAUAUACAUAUAUAUACAUAUAUAUACAUAUGUGUAUAUCUGUCUUUGUGUCUAGAAUGCAUGCACGCUUCUCCAUGUGAGAAUGACGCCGAUUAUUUUUGGAUGGAAUCAAACGACGCUGCUCUGUGGACUUUUUCCAGUGCCAGGUGAUGCGAAGGUCGAGCCUCAUCACCCGAAGAAGCAUCACAGGUUUGCCACAGAGGAGCUUCAGUGAAGUGGAGAGUCGAAGCAACCGCUCUGUACCGGACUCCUUGUCGCCGAACAGUCACAUCGGCUUCGACUCUGGAAUGUUCAAGCGGGUGCCUGCGCUAACAAAGCUGAUACUCUGAAUCUCCCUGUCUCUCUCGGGGGGCGUCUACGCUGCUUUGCUGCGCUAACUUGGAUCCUUUCGCUCUCGUGUGUCAGUGAGCGGAGCGCCGGACGCAAGACUCUCAGAGGGAAACGCGAGGAAGACUGCGCGUACGGAGAGCGCAUGUCUACAAGCACAAUCUUGGAAAUGCGUCUAAACAUCUUUUCCUCUCUGUGUCAUUUGCAUACAUGUACGCGUUUCUUCGGAUCGACCAGCCGGAAAACUCAACAAACGUUCACACCGAGACUGCGCCGGUGGAUUUCCUCACACACCUACUACCGUAUAUUUCGGUAUCGGUCAUGCAUUUCUACGUAUGCAGAACUUUAUGUGUAUCUGCGUACAUAUCCAGGACCUGCCCUGAUAGGUCUGCGUACAACCGCAAGAAGUCCGACUCCUGUCACUGAUGUCCUUCGUUCCCUGUGGGAAGCAGAGAUGGUUCCUCUCUCUUUCGAGUCGCCGACGACAGCAUGCGACGAAGAUUCGUUCUUCUGCCUCAACGAAUGUUGUUGUGAAUAAGACACUAGCAUCUAAAAGUAACUCUGUACGACUUCGCGAUGAACAUGAAGUCUUCCCUGCGCGUUGGGGCAAGGAACUCGCG